AGGCCGAAAGGCGUAGUCGAUGGGAAACAGGUUAAUAUUCCUGUACUUGGUGUUACUGCGAAGGGGGGACGGAGAAGGCUAUGUUAGCCGGGCGACGGUUGUCCCGGUUUAAGCAUGUAGGCUGGUUAUCCAGGCAAAUCCGGAUAACCAAGGCUGAGGUGUGAUGACGAGGCACUACGGUGCUGAAGUAACAAAUGCCCUGCUUCCAGGAAAAGCCUCUAAGCAUCAGGUAACAUCAAAUCGUACCCCAAACCGACACAGGUGGUCAGGUAGAGAAUACCAAGGCGCUUGAGAGAACUCGGGUGAAGGAACUAGGCAAAAUGGUGCCGUAACUUCGGGAGAAGGCACGCUGGUGUGUAGGUGAAGCCCCUGCGGGUGGAGCUGAGACCAGUCGAAGAUACCAGCUGGCUGCAACUGUUUAUUAAAAACACAGCACUGUGCAAACACGAAAGUGGACGUAUACGGUGUGACGCCUGCCCGGUGCCGGAAGGUUAAUUGAUGGG
Molecule: ribosomal RNA, 503 nt
Filed under: Klebsiella pneumoniae
Lineage: Bacteria; Pseudomonadati; Pseudomonadota; Gammaproteobacteria; Enterobacterales; Enterobacteriaceae
Description: partial 23S ribosomal RNA
Rfam family: Bacterial large subunit ribosomal RNA
Source: RNAcentral